This 452-nucleotide ribosomal RNA is filed under the name uncultured bacterium. RNAcentral describes it as "bacterial SSU rRNA". It matches the Rfam family "Bacterial small subunit ribosomal RNA", at positions 29 to 526 of the family's 1533-position model. The record is from RNAcentral.
AACGAACGCUGGCGGCAUGCCUAACACAUGCAAGUCGAACGAGAUCUUCGGAUCUAGUGGCGCACGGGUGCGUAACGCGUGGGAAUCUGCCUUGGGGUACGGAAUAACAGUGAGAAAUUACUGCUAAUACCGUAUGAUGUCUUCGGACCAAAGAUUUAUCGCCCUGAGAUGAGCCCGCGUAGGAUUAGCUAGUUGGUGGGGUAAAGGCCUACCAAGGCGACGAUCCUUAGCUGGUCUGAGAGGAUGAUCAGCCACACUGGGACUGAGACACGGCCCAGACUCCUACGGGAGGCAGCAGUGGGGAAUAUUGGACAAUGGGGGCAACCCUGAUCCAGCAAUGCCGCGUGAGUGAUGAAGGCCUUAGGGUUGUAAAGCUCUUUUACCCGGGAAGAUAAUGACUGUACCGGGAGAAUAAGCCCCGGCUAACUCCGUGCCAGCCGCCGCAGUAAAAC